RNAcentral lists this ribosomal RNA (254 nucleotides) under uncultured prokaryote. RNAcentral's name for it is "partial 16S ribosomal RNA". It matches the Rfam family "Bacterial small subunit ribosomal RNA", at positions 524 to 776 of the family's 1533-position model. The record is from RNAcentral.
UACGGGGGGAGCAAGCGUUGUUCGGAUUUACUGGGCGUAAAGGGCGCGUAGGCGGUCAGCACAAGUCAGUUGUGAAAUCUCCGGGCUUAACUCGGAAAGGUCAACUGAUACUGUGCGACUAGAGUGCAGAAGGGGCAACUGGAAUUCUUGGUGUAGCGGUGAAAUACGUAGAUAUCUGGAGGAACACCGGUGGCGAAGGCGGCUAUCUGGCCCAACAUUGACACUGAAGCACGAAAGCGUGGGGAUCAAACAGG